GACGAACGCUGGCGGCGUGCCUAAUACAUGCAAGUAGAACGCUGAAGAGAGGAGCUUGCUCUUCUUGGAUGAGUUGCGAACGGGUGAGUAACGCGUAGGUAACCUGCCUUGUAGCGGGGGAUAACUAUUGGAAACGAUAGCUAAUACCGCAUAACAAUGGAUGACACAUGUCAUUUAUUUGAAAGGGGCAAUUGCUCCACUACAAGAUGGACCUGCGUUGUAUUAGCUAGUAGGUGAGGUAACGGCUCACCUAGGCGACGAUACAUAGCCGACCUGAGAGGGUGAUCGGCCACACUGGGACUGAGACACGGCCCAGACUCCUACGGGAGGCAGCAGUAGGGAAUCUUCGGCAAUGGGGGCAACCCUGACCGAGCAACGCCGCGUGAGUGAAGAAGGUUUUCGGAUCGUAAAGCUCUGUUGUAAGUCGAGAACGAGUGUGAGAGUGGAAAGUUCACACUGUGACGGUAGCUUACCAGAAAGGGACGGCUAACUACGUGCCAGCAGCCGCGGUAAUACGUAGGUCCCGAGCGUUGUCCGGAUUUAUUGGGCGUAAAGCGAGCGCAGGCGGUUUGAUAAGUCUGAAGUUAAAGGCUGUGGCUCAACCAUAGUUCGCUUUGGAAACUGUCAAACUUGAGUGCAGAAGGGGAGAGUGGAAUUCCAUGUGUAGCGGUGAAAUGCGUAGAUAUAUGGAGGAACACCGGUGGCGAAAGCGGCUCUCUGGUCUGUAACUGACGCUGAGGCUCGAAAGCGUGGGGAGCGAACAGGAUUAGAUACCCUGGUAGUCCACGCCGUAAACGAUGAGUGCUAGGUGUUGGAUCCUUUCCGGGAUUCAGUGCCGCAGCUAACGCAUUAAGCACUCCGCCUGGGGAGUACGACCGCAAGGUUGAAACUCAAAGGAAUUGACGGGGGCCCGCACAAGCGGUGGAGCAUGUGGUUUAAUUCGAAGCAACGCGAAGAACCUUACCAGGUCUUGACAUCCCGAUGCUAUUUCUAGAGAUAGAAAGUUACUUCGGUACAUCGGUGACAGGUGGUACAUGGUUGUCGUCAGCUCGUGUCGUGAGAUGUUGGGUUAAGUCCCGCAACGAGCGCAACCCCUAUUGUUAGUUGCCAUCAUUCAGUUGGGCACUCUAACGAGACUGCCGGUAAUAAACCGGAGGAAGGUGGGGAUGACGUCAAAUCAUCAUGCCCCUUAUGACCUGGGCUACACACGUGCUACAAUGGUUGGUACAACGAGUUGCGAGUCGGUGACGGCAAGCUAAUCUCUUAAAGCCAAUCUCAGUUCGGAUUGUAGGCUGCAACUCGCCUACAUGAAGUCGGAAUCGCUAGUAAUCGCGGAUCAGCACGCCGCGGUGAAUACGUUCCCGGGCCU
This 1369-nucleotide ribosomal RNA is filed under the name uncultured bacterium. RNAcentral describes it as "bacterial SSU rRNA". It matches the Rfam family "Bacterial small subunit ribosomal RNA", at positions 28 to 1381 of the family's 1533-position model. The record is from RNAcentral.